GAUGAACGCUGGCGGCGUGCCUAAUACAUGCAAGUCGAGCGAACAGAUGAGGAGCUUGCUCCUCUGACGUUAGCGGCGGACGGGUGAGUAACACGUGGAUAACCUACCUAUAAGACUGGGAUAACUUCGGGAAACCGGAGCUAAUACCGGAUAAUAUAUUGAACCGCAUGGUUCAAUAGUGAAAGACGGUUUUGCUGUCACUUAUAGAUGGAUCCGCGCCGCAUUAGCUAGUUGGUAAGGUAACGGCUUACCAAGGCGACGAUGCGUAGCCGACCUGAGAGGGGGAACGGCCACACGGGAACGGAAGCACGGGCCAAACUCCUACGGGGGGCGGCGGGAGGGAAACUUCCGAAAUGGGGGAAAGCUGGACGGGGCAACCCCGGGGGGGGGAGGAAGGUUUUGGGAUCGUAAAACCCGUCUAAUAGGGAAAAAAAAAUGUUAGAGUAAAGAUGCAAGGCUUGACGGUACCUAAAAAGAAAGCCCCGGCUAACUACGUG
RNAcentral lists this ribosomal RNA (497 nucleotides) under uncultured bacterium. RNAcentral's name for it is "partial 16S ribosomal RNA". It matches the Rfam family "Bacterial small subunit ribosomal RNA", at positions 28 to 507 of the family's 1533-position model. The record is from RNAcentral.